RNAcentral lists this ribosomal RNA (238 nucleotides) under uncultured bacterium. RNAcentral's name for it is "partial 16S ribosomal RNA". It matches the Rfam family "Bacterial small subunit ribosomal RNA", at positions 524 to 761 of the family's 1533-position model. The record is from RNAcentral.
UACGUAGGGUGCGAGCGUUGUCCGGAAUUACUGGGCGUAAAGGGUGCGUAGGCGGGUCAGCAAGUCGGGUGUGAAAGUCCAGGGCUUAACCCUGAAUCGGCAUUCGAAACUGCUGGUCUUGAGUACUGGAGAGGUGAGUGGAAUUCCUGGUGUAGCGGUGAAAUGCGUAGAUAUCAGGAGGAACACCGUUGGCGAAGGCGGCUCACUGGACAGAUACUGACGCUGAGGCACGAAGGUC